UACGUAGGUGGCGAGCGUUGUCCGGAUUUACUGGGCGUAAAGAGCGCGCAGGCGGUCGUACAAGUCGCGUGUGAAAGCCCCCGGCUCAACUGGGGAGGGUCACGCGAUACUGUUCGACUCGAAGGCAGGAGAGGGUAGUGGAAUUCCCGGUGUAGUGGUGAAAUGCGUAGAUAUCGGGAGGAACACCAGUGGCGAAGGCGGCGACCUGGGUCGAGACUGACGCUGAGGCGCGAAAGCGUGGGGAGCAAACAGG
Molecule: ribosomal RNA, 253 nt
Filed under: uncultured bacterium
Lineage: Bacteria
Description: partial 16S ribosomal RNA
Rfam family: Bacterial small subunit ribosomal RNA
Source: RNAcentral